Molecule: ribosomal RNA, 228 nt
Filed under: uncultured bacterium
Lineage: Bacteria
Description: partial 16S ribosomal RNA
Rfam family: Bacterial small subunit ribosomal RNA
Source: RNAcentral
UCCGCAGGCGGGCAAUUAAGUCAGGGGUGAAAUGGUGCGGCUCAACCGUAGCACUGCCCUUGAUACUGGUUGUCUUGAGUCAUAGUGAAGUGGCCGGAAUAUGUAGUGUAGCGGUGAAAUGCAUAGAUAUUACAUAGAACACCGAUUGCGAAGGCAGGUCACUAACUAUCGACUGACGCUGAUGGACGAAAGCGUGGGGAGCGAACAGGAUUAGAUACCCUGGUAGUC